RNAcentral lists this ribosomal RNA (414 nucleotides) under uncultured Methanomicrobiales archaeon. Its description in RNAcentral is "bacterial SSU rRNA". It matches the Rfam family "Archaeal small subunit ribosomal RNA", at positions 925 to 1338 of the family's 1478-position model. Lineage: Archaea; Methanobacteriati; Methanobacteriota; Methanomicrobia; Methanomicrobiales. The record is from RNAcentral.
UCUCACCGGGGGCGACAGCAAUAUGAAGGUCAGGCUGAAGACUCUACUUGACUAGCUGAGAGGAGGUGCAUGGCCGUCGUCAGUUCGUACUGUGAAGCAUCCUGUUAAGUCAGGCAACGAGCGAGACCCACGCCAACAGUUGCCAGCUCGUCCUCCGGGAUGGUGGGGACACUGUUGGGACCGCCUCUGCUAAAGAGGAGGAAGGAAUGGGCAACGGUAGGUCAGCAUGCCCCGAAUUAUCUGGGCUACACGCGGGCUACAAUGGGUGGGACAAUGGGUAUCGACACCGAAAGGUGAAGGCAAUCUCCUAAACCCAUCCGUAGUUCGGAUUGUGGGCUGCAACUCGCCCACAUGAAGCUGGAAUCUGUAGUAAUCGUGUCUCAAAAUGGCACGGUGAAUAUGUCCCUGCUCCUU